Molecule: long non-coding RNA, 312 nt
Filed under: Canis lupus familiaris (dog)
Lineage: Eukaryota; Metazoa; Chordata; Mammalia; Carnivora; Canidae
Description: lncRNA (ENSCAFG00845018758.1)
Source: RNAcentral
GACUGGAGGUGGAAACAGUCUUCAAACAGAAGACAUGUGUGUGAUUGAAUACCCUGUCGGGAAGGCAGCUGUGGCGGUUCAGACAGUUUCAAUGUGAGUCUUCAAAGACAAUGCAUUGGUUUCAGACAUUAUGAAUCUUGUUCUCACAGUUGCAAAAUGGCUGAUGGGCCUCUACCAACAUGUCCAUAUUCCAUGCAGACAUAAAUAAGAAGGGGGAGGGCAAACAACAUGUACCAACAGUUUAUUCAACAAAUUAAUGACAAGUAAGUAUUUUUUAAGUCUAAAAAACAAUAGCUUUCCUGAACCCACCCC